CAUUAGGGUAGUUAAUUAAUAAUGUAAGAUUGUCAUUCUUUUGUUCCUUAAAAGGGCCUAAU
This 62-nucleotide transfer RNA is filed under the name Vema ewingi. Its description in RNAcentral is "tRNA-Asp". Lineage: Eukaryota; Metazoa; Mollusca; Monoplacophora; Tryblidiida; Neopilinidae. The record is from RNAcentral.